CAGUCGCCACGGUAAUACGUAGGAUGCGAGCGUUAAUCGGAAUUACUGGGCGUAAAGCGUGCGCAGGCGGUUCGUUAAGACAGAUGUGAAAUCCCCGGGCUUAACCUGGGAACCGCAUUUGUGACUGGCAAGCUAGAGUAUGGCAGAGGGGGGUAGAAUUCCACGUGUAGCAGUGAAAUGCGUAGAGAUGUGGUGGAAUACCGAUGGCGAAGGCAGCCCCCUGGGCCAAUACUGACGCUGAGGAGCGAAAGCGUGGGGAGCGAACAGAAUUAGAUACCCGAGUAGUCCCUGUCUCUUAUAC
This 301-nucleotide ribosomal RNA is filed under the name uncultured bacterium. RNAcentral describes it as "partial 16S ribosomal RNA". It matches the Rfam family "Bacterial small subunit ribosomal RNA", at positions 509 to 807 of the family's 1533-position model. The record is from RNAcentral.